ACAGUAAUCUCCAGCUUUCAUUCUGAAAACAGCCAGAUGGGAAAGUUGGAACUGUUAAUAAUAGAAAACGUUGCCAUCCGCAGUUCCUGGAGUCAUAACUCUUUAAAGGCUGUUUGGAUUCCAGAUCUCUACAGACCAGCCCAAGCCAGAUGCUCCUCAGACUCUGCACUGCCAUGGGCCAUGAUCUGGCUGGUCUGGCUGACAGAAGGGAGCAAGCCCACCACCCUGAGGCAGGAGGGCAGGGCCCGUGGUACAAAUGUGCUGAGCAAGUUGUGAUGAGAAAUGAACACAAGUGUAACAAACAGGAAGGAUUUUAAAGAUUUCUCUACCAUGCAGACUCUGUUAACCGUUGCCAUCAAUCAACCCAGAGAGCAGAGAUACACGGCCUUUUGUCCACAGCUGCAAUUCCCAGAAUGUGUUCCUCAGAAUCCUGAUCAUGUGUGAUGGCCCUUGAAAACUGUUCCACACUGAAAUAAAUUUUAGAAAUGCU
Callithrix jacchus (white-tufted-ear marmoset) is the source of this 490-nucleotide non-coding RNA. Lineage: Eukaryota; Metazoa; Chordata; Mammalia; Primates; Cebidae. The record is from RefSeq and is a predicted model, not a curated record.